This is a small nuclear RNA of Schistocerca americana (American grasshopper), 110 nucleotides long. The record is from RefSeq and is a predicted model, not a curated record. Lineage: Eukaryota; Metazoa; Arthropoda; Insecta; Orthoptera; Acrididae.
GUAUUCCUCGCUUCAGCGGUUCAUAUACUAAAAUUGGAACUAUACAGAGAAGAUUGGCAUGGCCCCUGCGUAAGAAUGAGAUGGAAAAUAGUGAAGCGUAAAUGUUGUUG